GCGGAGGUUUCCUAGUCUGGUCAAACGCUAGGACCCUUGGAGCAAGAAACAUUUGCGAAGUUGAGGGCCUUGUGACUUAGUGAUAUGGCGCGGCAGGCGCUAUUUCGGGGAAUGUCUACGGGAGUUCAAAUCUCCCCCUCCGCA
RNAcentral lists this transfer RNA (144 nucleotides) under Candidatus Aenigmatarchaeota archaeon. RNAcentral's name for it is "tRNA-OTHER". The record is from RNAcentral. Lineage: Archaea; Nanobdellati; Candidatus Aenigmatarchaeota.